UACAGAAUUGAUUACUUGUCUUGCUUGAUGGUCAUAUGGUAUUCAAGUGCAUCCAGUUCACUGCUUUGCUUCGCCUACUUACAUUAGGCUUUCCAUUCUUUAACCUUUGCAUCGGCUUAGAGACCUCAAGAGAGAAUCUAAGCUAAUUUGGACUAAAAGAUGGUGCUUUCAUUGGACAGUGCAAUCUUAUGGACUGCUGCUCGAUACAAUUAAGCAAAUUUUACUGAUCCUCAUGCUUUCAAAAUGAUUGGACAAGGCCCGUGCUACAUAAUUUUGAUAUUUGCUGGUGCAAUUUCACGUUUGUGCUGCAAUUUCACCCACAAGCCAGCCGAAGAGAUUGUUCGUCUUCGUAACCCCUUUGGCAGCAGGAAAUGCGCGAAAGAUGAUCUCCGACACGGAAAUCAAGCUUCUGUUUGAAGCUGCUGGCAUGAGUAUCGCAGUACAAACUUUAUAAGAUAGUGUCAAAUUUCUAAGGAACUUUUCUGGUAGCUGUCUGAUUAACGUUUGAGAAAAAAAAGUCAAAGGUUUGGUGGCCGACAUAGAUAUUGAGUCUCAGAAAUACCGGUGGAUGAGAAAUGCACACUUCGACUUCUAUAUUGAUGCGGAGCUGGGUCUGUUGUUCGGGUCCUGCUGGGCUCUGAAAUUUUCACCAACUUCACCUCUAUAUCAGUACCACGCUUUGACUCUAAUGUAUGAUAGCUCCUUAUUCUAUAUUGUCAAAUUGCAAGUAUCUGGAUACCUGUAUAUGUGAGACUCUAGAGAUUGAAAUGGUGUUAUCGGCUUAUUGCAAGGGUAAAGCUUGCCACCUGAAUUGGAUCAAAAUUGAAAUCGUGGCGGCAACCGCAAGGACCCAUGCUGUUUGUUUCAUUUAUCUUUUCACUGCGAUUCGUGGAAAAGGUGCUUUUCUGAAUGACUAUCCAAUCAAAGGUAUACCCAGAUUUGGUGCCAAUCGGUCUGAGCAACAUAUUGGCCCUUGCAGUGCUUGUAUACUGUUUUCCUCCAACUGCUCUCCUUAUUUGAAUAUGUGAGUUAGUGAAGGCUCUUCCGGUAACAGAGGUGACUUUGCGAUUUGUAAGUGUUUGCUUUUUGAAAAGACAUGUGCUUAAUGGUAAUUUCGACCCAUGGCAUCCAACCAAUAGCAUCUUUUGUAAAUAAGGUUUCUACAUUUUGUAACACAAAUUUCUCUUGUAAAUAAGUUGGUACAAGAUGAAAUGCUCGUGAUUUAUCAAUGAUUUGAGAUGCAAAUUUAACAUUUUUUAUGUUCAUUCUUCAUUAAUCGUUCGUUCAAGAUACUUCUGUUUGAAUAAGUUCUGAACUUGGUUUUAACUGAUCUUCUAUCAGAUAGUUUUGGAAAUACUCGCAUCGCACUGUCCAACACAAUUUUCUAUGGUUGACUUUUGAGUGGCCAUAUCGAACAAUAUCUGUUGAUGGAUUAAAUUUGUGGUUUUACAUUGUGAUGAUGUGAUCGUAGCAUUGGGAUUUAUGAAUGCUUUAACCGAUGAUUCGAAUCAGGACAAGAAAUGGCUAAGAGUGGUGAUCAAGUACUUGAUGCUAUUACAGCCACUGGUAUGGAUGACCAUGCAAGAGUCUGAUCAGCCAGUCACUGUCGGCCACAUGACGAUACACUUACACCGUGAGCAGAAUACUUUGAAUUUGGUUGCUAAUGUUCACAAGAUGGAGGUGCUUCCGAAGGUGUUUGAUCAUGGGCUGGAUGCAGGUGCUAAAUUCAUAAAGCCAGGGUUUGAUAUUUCAGUUGAGGAUUUGCAGUCCGGUGUUCCUUUUGCUGCAAUUAACAUCAAGAGACACCAGUUCAAGGUCUGUGGGAAGUUAUUAAGGUCAGGGCGUGCUUUGGGAGGACACAUGAGGUUACACUAUGUCCGGAAGUACAAUCUUGCUGAUUGUCCUAAUUCUGCUAUGAUGGAAGAGCAAAUGCAGAAGCAUUGGACUCACCCAUCUUUUUAUCUGCGUAUACCAGGUUCACAUGGGAUUGAAAUCUGAUUCUGAGCCAAAGCUGGGUUCAACAUGUUGUCCGAAACAACCAGUUAAGUUGUCUAGACUCAUUUGGAACUUGAAGAACUCCAUUUCAUCGGCUGGAUUCUGUAGAUAGUUAAGAGAUUUCGAGACUGGCACUUUCUUGAUCAACAAAAAAUGGUGGAUAUGGAAGGGCAAGGAUCUUAACUCACCGCUCGCCUAUGAAACAGUGUCAAAAUUUGUCGAAGUAACAAUCAAUUAAAGUAUUUAUAUUGAAUAAUAUUUUUAUUUUUUAAGGUAGUUUAGUCUUGAGUUUACAGAAAUUCAACAUCUAUAUUUUUGUGGUUAUUGGGACUUGACUUUUGUUUUUUCUUAUUGAAUAAUUUUAAUUCAUGUGAUACUAAUUGUAGUU
This is an RNA transcript of Panicum virgatum (switchgrass), 2383 nucleotides long. RefSeq lists it as uncharacterized. Lineage: Eukaryota; Viridiplantae; Streptophyta; Magnoliopsida; Poales; Poaceae. The transcript is spliced from 6 exons. The record is from RefSeq and is a predicted model, not a curated record.